Molecule: ribosomal RNA, 119 nt
Filed under: Populus trichocarpa (black cottonwood)
Lineage: Eukaryota; Viridiplantae; Streptophyta; Magnoliopsida; Malpighiales; Salicaceae
Source: RNAcentral
GGGUGCGAUCAUACCAUCACUAAUGCACCAGAUCCCAUCAAAACUCCGCAGUUAAACGUGCUUAGGCUAGAGUAGUACUAGGAUGUGUGACCUCCUGGGAAGUCCUCGUGUUGCACCCC